Morus notabilis is the source of this 391-nucleotide long non-coding RNA. RefSeq lists it as uncharacterized. The record is from RefSeq and is a predicted model, not a curated record. The transcript is spliced from 3 exons. NCBI's taxonomy places the organism in Eukaryota, Viridiplantae, Streptophyta, Magnoliopsida, Rosales, Moraceae.
AGUACCAAAAGUCAUAGAGGACAAGAAUUUUUAAUUGAUAAUAUACGGAAACUAAAAAUAAAAUAAAAUAAAAUUCUAUUAAGGGCAUUGGCUUUGUUCUCUCUUUUUAUUCCUGUCUUUAUAUUCUGCCACUGCAGCUCAAUUUGAGGUGGACGACUCAGCUCUGAGGGAAUGAGCAGAUGUUAUGGCCUCUGUUUUUGUGAGAGGGACAGUUAUCUUUUGGCUCGAGAUCAAUACGAAGACUCUAUAUAUCGACAAAAAGAGAACAAAUUAGAACAGGAAUGAUUCAUCCAGGAAACCACACCAAAGGAAAGAAGUUACCUUUUUCUCAAAGCAUCUCUCUUGCCUCUUCUGGCGGAAUCUUCUUAGAGCAGCUUCUCUUUGUGCAAAG